UGGGGAAUAUUGGACAAUGGGCGAAAGCCUGAUCCAGCCAUGCCGCGUGUGUGAAGAAGGUCUUCGGAUUGUAAAGCACUUUAAGUUGGGAGGAAGGGCAUUAACCUAAUACGUUAGUGUUUUGACGUUACCGACAGAAUAAGCACCGGCUAACUCUGUGCCAGCAGCCGCGGUAAUACAGAGGGUGCAAGCGUUAAUCGGAAUUACUGGGCGUAAAGCGCGGGUAGGUGGUUUGUUAAGUUGGAUGUGAAAUCCCCGGGCUCAACCUGGGAACUGCAUUCAAAACUGACUGACUAGAGUAUGGUAGAGGGUGGUGGAAUUUCCUGUGUAGCGGUGAAAUGCGUAGAUAUAGGAAGGAACACCAGUGGCGAAGGCGACCACCUGGACUAAUACUGACACUGAGGUGCGAAAGCGUGGGGAGCAAACA
This 427-nucleotide ribosomal RNA is filed under the name uncultured bacterium. RNAcentral describes it as "partial 16S ribosomal RNA". It matches the Rfam family "Bacterial small subunit ribosomal RNA", at positions 355 to 774 of the family's 1533-position model. The record is from RNAcentral.